AUGAGAAAAUUUUGCCUUUAUAUUGCCUUCAGACUCAAGACUACAAUAUCAACUUUUCCCUGGGACACCAUCCUGCUGGCCUGUCCUACACAUUCAGACUUGCCAGCCUCCACAAUCAUGAGAUGAUCUUGGCAGAUUAGAAAUAUCUGGAAUAUAAGAUUUUGAUUAAUGAAGCCGCAUUCAAGGUAUGGUGUUAUAAUUUUGGGGAGAUGUGACCCCAGAUGUUUUACAUAAACACUUAUU
RNAcentral lists this long non-coding RNA (243 nucleotides) under Callithrix jacchus (white-tufted-ear marmoset). Its description in RNAcentral is "lncRNA (ENSCJAG00000072559.1)". The record is from RNAcentral. Lineage: Eukaryota; Metazoa; Chordata; Mammalia; Primates; Cebidae.